Molecule: small RNA, 73 nt
Filed under: Xanthomonas oryzae
Lineage: Bacteria; Pseudomonadati; Pseudomonadota; Gammaproteobacteria; Lysobacterales; Lysobacteraceae
Also listed under: 2 other names
Description: sX9
Rfam family: Xanthomonas sRNA sX9
Source: RNAcentral
UCGUACCACUCUUGCACUGCGAUUCCCGCACGCCGCCCACGUCCUGACGACUGCUCGCUACGUUUUGAUAGCC